This 6514-nucleotide long non-coding RNA is filed under the name Brassica napus (rape). RNAcentral describes it as "long non-coding RNA (BNAP_LNC006810)". Lineage: Eukaryota; Viridiplantae; Streptophyta; Magnoliopsida; Brassicales; Brassicaceae. The record is from RNAcentral.
AUUUGGAUUUGAGUUUGGAAAUGUUUAAAGACUGGGGUAUUUAUAAAGAAAACGAUUAAAAACAUAGUGUUUAUUACAAAGCAUUAUUAGCCACAAGGAGUCCAAGUAUACAAACAAAGUAUAAAUGGUCUGGAUUCACGUUUUAUUCAACAACUAAUAAAACUUUAUUUAAACGAAACACAAGAACCUCAGUCUUUAAACAUUUGCAAACUCAAAUCCAAAUAUCGGAAGUGCAGUCUCCACCUGGAUACCUCAUCUCAUGUGCUAGUGCAGGACCAUCAGGUUCAUCACCAAAGUCCACAAAGAGAUCAGGGUUUAUGGAGAGACCACCUUUCUCUGUAUCAACAUCAAGCUGAAUUAUGUGUGACCCUUUAUCCAUGAGUUCCGGGUAAAACUGACGAUCCCAUGCGCUAAAGAGCGAGUUUGUUGCAUACAACCGUUUCCCAUCGAGGCUAAGCUGGAUCAUUUGAGGUCCUCCUCUCAGAGAUUUCCCCUGCAAUUACCAGAGAAGAAGCAGUUUCAAGACAAUGCAAAAUGUUAAAAACCUCAAAAAGAUUUCAUAUUUUGGGUACAAACAAACCUUGAUCUGAGGAACAUCGUAUUGGAAAGUGUUACCAUCUUCUCCAACCGCCUUAACAGGACUGCCCUUUUGUAGUAACCCUCCCACCCAUAUUUGACCGGUUAAGACAGGGUUUUUAGGGUCUUCAAUGUUGUACUGACGAAUGUCUCCAUGAAGCCAGUUCACAAAGUAGAGGAACCGGUCAUCGAGGGAGAUCAAGAAGUCGGUGAUAAGCCCCGGCAUUUCUGGAAGAAUCCAGUUCUCUACUUUCAGUGGUUUAACUUGGAUAACCACCUGAAAAUCAAUUUGUACUAGGUGUUAAUCAUACAUUUGAAAUAAAACAAGAAAAGAAAGAUAAAAAAGAAAGAAGACUUGCCUCAUGGCCCCAUGUUUCAUCACUGUUCUUGAAAAAUCGUAUCAUAUUACUCGACAAAGCACCCCCAACAUACCCUGUAUCCUUAGAUGGAUCAUGCAAGAAUCUAAUCUGCAACCACAACAGGGAAAGAUUAUUAAUGUUAGUCUGAAGAAAGAAAACAUAUAAAUGAGACGUUUGAUUAAUUAUGUAUACCUCUAAAGGUAACAUGCCAGUCUCUCCAAGGUCAAUUAAUUGUUUCAUUUCACCUCCUGGCCAACUGUAAACAUGGAGAUGGCUUCCGUACAAGCCAUCAGCAACGUGUUGGAGAUCGAAACCUUUGGUGAAGGCUUUAGGUGCUCCCCAAGAAGUGCUUAUCAUUGUCUUGUGCCGCGGUUGAUACCAGAAGUCAUAACCAAACAAGGGACUAUGUCCUUCUUUCUCCCACCUGACAUAAUCCCCCAAUAACCAUAAUGAUUUAGAGUAACUAUUAUUAUCAACAAUGACAAGAAAGAAAGUAAAACAUAAUGAGUUAGUUUUGUAAUAAGCGACCUGUUCUUGAUGUUGAAAUCAGAGUCAAGAAGAAGAAACCCGUUCCCCUUGGCGUUUCCCUCUUCGUCUCCAAGACAGGACACCAAGAUCUCACCAGAGGCAAGGCAAUGAGCCGUGUGUGGAUAAGCCAAUCCAGUCUUUUCAGCAAUCUCCUUAGGAUCCACAUACUUGUACAAAGACGGUGCCCUCGGGUCUGCCUUUGUGUCAAUCGCAUAGAUGCGACCAGAUCUUUAAUUCAAACAAGGAGAAAGAUCAAGAUAGUGAACUUAAACAUCACUAAAUGAAUUCAGGCUGAAGGAAAUUUACAUAAGGGAUGGUAAGACGAGGUAACGUCGAUCAGCGGAAGCAUCACCAUGGCAAGAGCUGCAAGAGUUCCAACCAGAGUGAUGAAGCUCAUCACCCACAAAAGGCAUUGGCAAUCUGUGAAUGACGGUUGAAUAGGUUGGUGAGUUUGGAUCAACAUCCACCGUUGCCAAGUAAUCAGGCUUCUCUCGUCCCGUUCCUUCAAAACCAAAAAAAAAAAAAAAAAAUAUAUAUAUAUAUAUAUUAAAAAGAAGAAUCCACAACCAAAGUACAGUAGGAUCAAAAGAGAACUUAAAAGUAAGAUUCAACCAGACAAUAGAAAAGAACAAAGAUUCUUAGUCAUAAAUUUAUCCUUAAAACAGAGAGAUCUAAUCAGGAAACUGAAAACAGAGAGAGAUCACAAGGGGUGAUUUCGAUCUAGAAUCUUUGAGAUUCCGUAGGACCUACUAAAAAGAUUUUUUCACAUCAUCAUUCAUCAACCAACGUUAAAAGUACAGAUUCUGUCUGAAAAUACUUUUGAAAACGUUCGAUCUCUAACAGGUUAAAAGAAAAUAUAAAACAAAAGUGUACCAGAGUAGACGGCGGUGACGUAGAUGAGCUUUUCCGAUGGACCAGACAUGGCGGCGAGUGGCGUCGCGUAACCAGGACCUGAUUUGCAACAUCCUCCGUCAACGCCGUUGCUCGCGGGAGCUACCACUUCAGUAUUAGUCACCAUUUUCGAUCUCUGCCUUUCUUGAGUCCUGUGUCUCUGAAAUCAAGAUAUAUCUAUUAAAUAUAUAAUUUAAUAUUAUAAGGUAGUGGUUAAGCUUCACGUCUCCUUUGAGUUUAUCGCAAACACACACCCACGUGAUUUUGAUUUGUCAGUGCAAAUAUUUUAGCUGUGACUUUUCGUUGUUAUCUUUUUACUUACAAAAAGUAUGUGUAAGGUAAGAUAUGUGACGGAAAACAAUAUCUUCCGCGUCACUAUAGAUGUAAAUCUUCUAGGAAAACACUGGAUUUGUAGUAUUUUAAUACAUAACUACUGCCAAAUUUGUAGGUUGUGUUGACCAGACCGCAGGAUGUAUCUGAAUUAAAAAUACGUCUCCAUGCAAAAAGCUGAUAAAACAAUAAUGCAAUUCGUCCAUUGACAAAAUAAGAAGAUAAAAAUGAAUCUGUGAAGUGCAACUGUCUAAUUACGGUGUAUUAUUUUUUACGGCAAACUUAAAAUUGUAUUAACUUUUAAACCGAACCAGCUAGCGAACAGAAAAUGUUUUGGGUCAUGGUCAUUGUAGUUCGAUCGGGUUUAAUUGGACUAAACUAAAUUUAAUGAUAUUUUGUAAAUAAUAAGCAUAUAUUUACAAAAUAGAUCAUAUCAAAUAAAAUAUUUAAAUAGCCAUUAUAUAUAACAAAAUAUAACAAAAAUAAAAAGAAAUUAAUAGCUCAAAUCUAAAAUCAAUAUGAAAAUCACAUUUAAAAUUUAUUCUCAGAUCUUAUCACUCUAAAUCCUUAUCACCUGUAAAAAAUUAUAUACACAUUAGGUAAAAAAUAUAUUUUGAAAUACAAAUUUCACAAACGUAAAUGUUUCAAUUAUUAAAGUCUUCAAAACAAAUAAUCAUGAAAUAAAAUUUAAACAAAAUGAAAAGUAAACAAAAACAAUAUCUUAACGUGAAUAUUAAACUUGUAUCUUGUAACUUAUGAGUUGUAGAGAAGUAAAAAAAAAAUGAGAGGCAAUACUUUAUUAAACUUUAAUAAAUCAUAUUUUUGCUUUAAGAAGAAGCUGAACUUUUUGUUUCAAAAUAUAUUUUUUAAAAUUUUGGUUUAUAUACUAACUGAGGUUUAUAUACUAACCGGGGUUUGGUCGGUUCAUUGGAUCGCCGGUUCCCGGGUUUCUGACCGUUUAAUAUGUGUUUUUAACCGGUUCAACUUUAAUUGGGCUUUGGCAUUAACCCAACCCGAAUUAUUGUCGGCUCAUGAUUCAACCCGGUCCGGGUUUAAAAAUACUGCUCGAAACAUAGCAAGCAUACAAAAUUGGAUUUAACUAAGAGGGAGUAUAAGAACAACAAUUGUUAAGAAAGACCACUAAAAGGACCUUUCCUAGCUAACACAUGCGUUUGCUUGGUUACCCAAUCUUUUCUUCAUUCAUUUCACAUAUAAAUCUUUUACCAUGGCCCAUGGGUAAUGCUAAAAAAACCUCAAAAGAAAGGGGCACAAUGUAAAUAGAAAGUUUUAUUAUCUCGGAUUAAGAACAACGAUAUAGCAGAAACAACUUUUCAUUUUGAUUCAAAACACAUGAAUCUAGCGUCAUCAUCAUAUUUAUUACACUCUAGAAAACACAAAAAUGAGUCAAACCCAAUUUUACCCUUUUAAGGGGGCCAAUUCAAAUCCAGAUAUCAGAGGUGCAGUCUCCUCCGGGAUACAUCAUCUCAUGGGCAAGCGCAGGACCAUCAGGUUCAUCACUGAAGUCUACAAAGAAAUCAGGGUUUAUUGAGAGACCACCUUUCUCAGUAUCAACAUCAAUCUGAAUUAUGUGUGAUCCUUUAUCCAUGAGUUCUGGGUAAAACUGACGGUCCCACGCGCUAAAUAGUGAGUUUGUUGCAUACAAUCAUUUACCAUCAAGGCUCAGCUGGAUCAUCUGAGGUCCUGCUCGUAGAGAUUUCCCCUACAAAUACUUCAAUAUUAAAAAAACAACUUGUAUAGAAAAAAAAUGCUAAAAUUCUCCCAAAUGAAUGCUUUUGUUUUGUGGGUAAAAAAACAAACCUUGAUCUGAGGAACAUCAAACUGGUAAGUGGUACCAUCUUCUCUAACAGCCUUAACAGGGCUGCCUUUUUGUAGUAAUCCCCCCCACCCAAAUUUGAGCGGUUAAGACAGGAUUUUUAGGGUCUUCAAUGUUGUACUGACGAAUGUCUCCAUGAAGCCAGUUCACAAAGUAGAAAAACCGAUCAUCGAGGGAGAUCAAGAAGUCGGUGAUAAGCCCCGGCAUUUCUGGAAGAAUCCAGUUCUCUACUUUCAGUGGUUCAACUGAUAUAACCACCUACCAAAAAGAAUCAAACUAAUGGUUAAUCAUAGCUUUCAAGAACCAAAGAAAAAAAGAGGUUAUGAAGAUAAUUCCGAAACUCUACUUGCCUCAUGGCUCCAUGUGUCAUCACUGUUCCUGAAAAAUCUUAUCAUAUUACUCGACAAUGCACUCCCAACAUACCCUGUACCUUUAGACGGAUCAUGCAAGAAUCUUAUCUGCAACAACCACAUAAAACAUUACAUUAUAUUCCUCGGUAACACAGAUCCUCACAUUUUAUAUAACAUGUUGAAGUAAUGUUACUACCUCGAGAGGUAAGAGACCAGUAUUACCAAGGUCAAUAAUCUGUUUCAUUUCACCUUCUGGCCAUUUAUAAAUAUGUAAAUGACUUCCGUACAAGCCAUCAGCAACGUGCUGGAGAUUGAAACCUUUGGAGAAAGCUUUAGGUGCUCCCCAAGAAGUGCUGAUCAUCGUCUUGAACCGAGGCUGGUACCAGAAAUCAUACCCAAACUUUGGGGCAUGCCCUGGUUUGUCCCACCUGCUUUUGACGUUGAAAUCAGAGUCAAGAAGGAGAAACCCGUUCCCUUUGGCGUUUCCUUCUUUGUCACCAAGGCAAGAGACCAACAUGUCGCCAGAGGCGAGGCAGUGAGACGUGUGCGGAAAUGCUAAUCCUGUCUUCUCAGAAAUCUCUUUAGGUUCUACAACCUUGUACAAGGACGGAGCCUUUGGGUCAGUCAUUGUGUCGAUUGCGUAGAUGCGACCAGAUCUUCAUCAAGACAAGAAAGAAAACGUUAGAUCAUAAUGAUCUACUGUAGAUAUGAAGCGUCAUUAAUAAAUAUGCAUAUUAUAUGUAUAUAUAUAUAUUAAUAUCAUAUAAAUUUAAUUAUAUACUAUAUAAAAAUAUAUAAAAAUGUUAAUUUCAAAAUUUUCAUUGAAAAAUUAUUGGGAUUUUAAUAUUAAAUGAUAACUUACAGAGAGUCAAUAGUAAAAAAAUCGAGAGUAGAAAACCUAAUCUCCUUUUGUCAUGUUGCGUAUCUGGUUUUAAUGAUUUGUGUCAGCCCCAAAAGUUAAUUUUCUUUUAUGCACAUGAAGUCAUAAGAAUAAUUAAAAUGAACUAUAAUACGUUAGUUAACUCUUCAACAAUGAUGGUAUAUUUAAAAGACCAAUAUUUGUAUCGUCAUUUUACAAUCGAUAAAGAUUGUAGUAUUGCAAAAUGAUAAACCAUUUAAUGAACAAACAUAAACAUUAGUAUAAAAACUCACGCCGUGCACGGAUUAUCAUCUAAUCCCUACUUAUUCAUAAAACAUGCACCACUGGAAAUGCUCAAAACUCAAAAGAUAUGGACGUAAUAUAAACUGAAAGUUUUGAUUAAGUAACAAAAGAAAAGAACAAGCUUUAUGUCUGGAUGAAAACAGUUAUUUAUUACACUACAAAAGACAACAACUGACUCAAAUCUUUUCUUAUGGAUCAUAUUCAAAUCCAGAUAUCAGAUGUGCAGUCUCCGCCGGGAUAUCUCAUCUCGUGGGCAAGCGCAGGACCAUCGGGUUCUUCACCAAAGUCCACAAAGAAAUCAGGGUUUAUUGAGAGACCACCUUUCUCUGUAUCAACAUCAAUUUGAAUUAUGUGUGAUCCUUUAUCCAUAAGUUCAGGGUAAAACUGACGGUCCCACACGCUGUAUAACGAGUUUGUUGCAUACAGUCGUUUACCAUCAAGGCUAAGCUGAAUCAUUUGAGGUCCUCCUCUCAGAGAUUUCCCC